This 375-nucleotide ribosomal RNA is filed under the name uncultured organism. RNAcentral describes it as "partial 16S ribosomal RNA". It matches the Rfam family "Bacterial small subunit ribosomal RNA", at positions 524 to 896 of the family's 1533-position model. The record is from RNAcentral.
GGGGGGGGGGGCAAGCGUUGUUCGGAAUUACUGGGCGUAAAGGGCGCGUAGGCGGUCCCGCAAGUCUUUCGUGAAAUCCCACAGCUCAACUGUGGAAUUGCGAGGGAAACUGCAGGACUUGAGUUCGGGAGAGGAGAGUGGAAUUCCCAGUGUAGCGGUGAAAUGCGUAGAUAUUGGGAGGAACACCGGUGGCGAAGGCGGCUCUCUGGACCGACACUGACGCUGAGGCGCGAAAGCUAGGGGAGCAAACGGGAUUAGAUACCCCGGUAGUCCUAGCCCUAAACGAUGAGCACUUGGUGUGGCGGGUAUCGACCCCUGCCGUGCCGAAGCUAACGCAUUAAGUGCUCCGCCUGGGGAGUACGGUCGCAAAGGCUG